Molecule: ribosomal RNA, 221 nt
Filed under: uncultured bacterium
Lineage: Bacteria
Description: partial 16S ribosomal RNA
Rfam family: Bacterial small subunit ribosomal RNA
Source: RNAcentral
UACAGAGGUCUCAAGCGUUGUUCGGAAUUAUUGGGCGUAAAGGGUGCGUAGGCGGUUUGAUAAGUUUGAUGUGAAAUCUCUGGGCUCAACCCAGAGUCUGCAUCGAAAACUGUCGGGCUUGAGUAUGGGAGAGGUGAGUGGAAUUUCCGGUGUAGCGGUGAAAUGCGUAGAUAUCGGAAGGAACACCUGUGGCGAAAGCGGACUCACUGGACCAUUACUGA